RNAcentral lists this long non-coding RNA (653 nucleotides) under Bos taurus (domestic cattle). RNAcentral describes it as "long non-coding RNA NONBTAT013598". Lineage: Eukaryota; Metazoa; Chordata; Mammalia; Artiodactyla; Bovidae. The record is from RNAcentral.
UGGUUUCCAUCAUUUGAUCUUAUUUUAUUGGUAUUCAUCAGCAAAUAAAAUUUUAUUGUUGAUUUUGGAUGCAUUACAACACACUUUUUGGUAGUGGUUGCACAAUGUUGAUCAUUUAUUAACUAUACUAAAUACUGCAACCUCUCAAUUGCUGAAUUUUACAUGGGUAUUUUCUUUGUGAUGAUGGGUGGCUCCUCUCUCUGAAUACAUAAAAUGGUCCAUUCCAUCCAUGGUUUUCAUAUUCCUUUGUUAUUCUACCUACUGCUUUAAAAUACAUUCAAAUAAAAAGAUAUAAGUUCCGUGCAGUGAAAUACGCUCAAGGGUGUCGGGUCUAGAGUAAAGACCAGAACCAGCGGACCUCCAAAGCCUUGUUUCUCUGUGAACUGGUUUGGUGUUACCUUUGGCCGUGUUUCUACUCUUUCACUGUUGACAAGUUUCAUUCACCACCUUUCUCCCGACCCCUUUUCCUUAAGGUCCUAUUGUUAAAGUCACAUUGGCUCUGGUCUUAAUCAAUUGGUUGUGACAUUGGGUCCCAGAAAUAAGCUGCUAUCUCACUAGCUGCUUGGUGUGUCCGAAACUUGUAUUUUGGUGUCACAGAACCAUGGAGAGAACAUUUUACUGCGACUUCCCAUCUAGUACCAUUACUUCCCUGC